Molecule: ribosomal RNA, 318 nt
Filed under: uncultured Actinomycetes bacterium
Lineage: Bacteria; Bacillati; Actinomycetota; Actinomycetes
Description: bacterial SSU rRNA
Rfam family: Bacterial small subunit ribosomal RNA
Source: RNAcentral
AAGUGGUGCAUGGUUGUCUUCAUCUCGUGUCGUGAGAUGUUGGGUUAAGUCCCGCAACGAGCGCAACCCUCGUUCUAUGUUGCCAGCACGUAAUGGUGGGAACUCAUGGGAUACUGCCGGGGUCAACUCGGAGGAAGGUGGGGAUGACGUCAAAUCAUCAUGCCCCUUAUGUCUUGGGCUUCACGCAUGCUACAAUGGCCGGUACAAAGGGCUGCAAUACCGUAAGGUGGAGCGAAUCCCAAAAAGCCGGUCCCAGUUCGGAUUGAGGUCUGCAACUCGACCUCAUGAAGUCGGAGUCGCUAGUAAUCGCAGAUCAGC